Molecule: non-coding RNA, 301 nt
Organism: Cinara cedri
Lineage: Eukaryota; Metazoa; Arthropoda; Insecta; Hemiptera; Aphididae
Source: the annotation of a GenBank genome assembly
AAUUGUUUUUCGAAUUCCGAAGCCAAACUGGUAGGUAUCAUUCCCGGGUUAACGCGUGACUGUUUUCGGACACACAUUCGCAUUCACCAACCAACAACGUUCAGUGAAUUUCGGUGGAUUGCAGCGUGCUGGAACCGGUAACGGAAAUGCCUACCCCCGUCGCAGGGCGUUGGACAUCCACCCAAACGCGGGGGGUAAUAGAAGAAAUGAAUCUGAGCAGCGCGUGAGGGUACUACCCUGGCCGUGUUGGUACCAUGGGAAGCAGCACUGGAAUAGGGACUACCUCAACGGAUCAACCACG